UCCGGGUUGGACCCGGCGGUCCCGCCAGACAUCGUAACUGGCAGCGAGGGUUGCGCUCGUUGCGGGACUUAACCCAACACCUCACGGCACGAGCUGGCGACAGCCAUGCACCACCUGUGUAGGGCCCCGAAGGACACCGCAUCUCUACGGCUUUUCCCUACAUGUCAAACCCAGGUAAGGUUCUUCGCGUUGCGUCGAAUUAAACCACAUGCUCCGCUGCUUGUGCGGGCCCCCGUCAAUUCCUUUGAGUUUUAGCCUUGCGGCCGUACUCCCCAGGCGGGGCACUUAAUGCAUUAGCGCCGGCACGGAAGGAGUCGACACCUCCCACACCUAGUGCCCAUCGUUUACGGCGUGGACUAC
RNAcentral lists this unclassified non-coding RNA (360 nucleotides) under uncultured Actinomycetes bacterium. Its description in RNAcentral is "uncultured actinobacterium contains 16S-23S intergenic spacer region". Lineage: Bacteria; Bacillati; Actinomycetota; Actinomycetes. The record is from RNAcentral.